GCCGGAGACAGCCCGCCGCUUCCAACGAGCGCCUUGCAUCUCCUUCGGAAACACAGCAACCUGCCCUCCCGCACCCAGUUCAAGGCCUCCACUUCGACCGAGGCGAAAAACAGCGUGCGAUUUGGAAUUACAGAAGCCCUAUGUCCCUUCCAAAGUGUCCAUAAAUCAUGGCUACAUUCAGCAAGUUCACAAAGCAAAGACAUCUGCAUCCCUGCUUGGCUGCUAUCGUGCCCAAAAUGCUGACAGAGCCAUGGCAGCAGUGACCACACACAGACUCCAAAAUCUAUUAAGGUACAGGUCAAACUGACCAGACUUUAAGCCAUAAACAUCUGCAGCUUCCUCUGUGGUUUAGUCAAGUACAGUUGCCUGUACCCAUGGAAAGUACCACGUUUUUAUAACUGGCAGGAAUCUACCUCACUCACCCACUUCACCCAGAGCCACUGUGAUGAGUGAAAUAUGCUGGAGAGCAUUUUAAGAGUUUUCAAUAAAAUCCAUAAUCUUCUGCAUCUGGA
Long non-coding RNA from Passer domesticus (house sparrow), 512 nucleotides. RefSeq lists it as uncharacterized. NCBI's taxonomy places the organism in Eukaryota, Metazoa, Chordata, Aves, Passeriformes, Passeridae. The record is from RefSeq and is a predicted model, not a curated record. The transcript has 3 exons.